GAGUUUGAUCGUGGCUCAGAUUGAACGCUGGCGGCAGGCUUAACACAUGCAAGUCGAGCGGGGAGGUUGCUUCGGUAACUGACCUAGCGGCGAACGGGUGAGUAAUACUUAGGAAUCUGCCUAUUAAUGGGGACAACAUCUCGAAAAGGGAUGCUAAUACCGCAUACGCCCUACGGGGAAAGCAGGGGAUCACUUGUGACCUUGCGUUAAUAGAUGAGCCUAAGUCGGAUUAGCUAGUUGGUGGGUAAAAGGCCUACCAAGGCGACGAUCUGUAGCGGGUCUGAGAGGAUGAUCCGCCACACUGGGACUGAGACACGGCCCAGACUCCUACGGGAGGCAGCAGUGGGGAAUAUUGGACAAUGGGGGGAACCCUGAUCCAGCCAUGCCGCGUGUGUGAAGAAGGCCUUAUGGUUGUAAAAGCACUUUAAAGCGAGGAGGAGGCUCUUCUAGUUAAUACCUAGGAUGAGUGGACGUUACUCGCAGAAUAAAGCACCGGCUAACUCUGUGCCAGCCGCCGCCGUAA
Molecule: ribosomal RNA, 523 nt
Filed under: uncultured microorganism
Description: bacterial SSU rRNA
Rfam family: Bacterial small subunit ribosomal RNA
Source: RNAcentral